Molecule: unclassified non-coding RNA, 182 nt
Filed under: Glomus sp.
Lineage: Eukaryota; Fungi; Glomeromycota; Glomeromycetes; Glomerales; Glomeraceae
Description: partial contains 5.8S ribosomal RNA and internal transcribed spacer 2
Source: RNAcentral
GUGAAUCAUCGAAUUUUUGAACGCAAAUUGCACUCUCUUCGGAUAGGAUGCCUGUGUGAGGGUCAGCCUAAAAAAAAUCAACAUAGUAGCUGUUUCUCGUUGACAAUCGUCGGAAAUUGUGUGAUCUUAAACCGUUAGGUUUUAAGAAGCGUAAAAUUUUCUUUACAAUUCUAAGGAGUUUU